AGCAGUAGCCGCGGGAAUACAGAGGGUGCGAGCGUUAAUCGGAUUUACUGGGCGUAAAGCGUGCGUAGGCGGCUUCUUAAGUCGGAUGUGAAAUCCCUGAGCUUAACUUAGGAAUUGCAUUCGAUACUGGGAAGCUAGAGUAUGGGAGAGGAUGGUAGAAUUCCAGGUGUAGCGGUGAAAUGCGUAGAGAUCUGGAGGAAUACCGAUGGCGAAGGCAGCCAUCUGGCCUAAUACUGACGCUGAGGUACGAAAGCAUGGGGAGCAAACAGGAUUAGAUACCCGGGUAGUCCCUGUCUCUUAUAA
This 303-nucleotide ribosomal RNA is filed under the name uncultured bacterium. RNAcentral's name for it is "partial 16S ribosomal RNA". It matches the Rfam family "Bacterial small subunit ribosomal RNA", at positions 507 to 809 of the family's 1533-position model. The record is from RNAcentral.